UCCCAGAGAGCUAGCUUGUCUUCCACCAUGGGAGGCCACAGAAAAAAAGGUGGCUGUUAAUGAACCAGAAGGGGGUUCUCUCCUGACACAGAAUAUUCUGGACCUUGAUCUUGGACUGCAUAGACUCCAGAUUGUAAGAAAUAAAUUUCUGCUGUUUUAUAAGCCACCCAGUGUAUGGUAUUCUGCUGUAAUCUGAAUAGGACUCAUGAGGAGCCAAACAGUGGAGAAGAGGAUGAACUGAGGCCGAUGAAAGCAGGAACAGUAGGAGUCUGUGCCUGAUCACAGGUGAAAGGAGAGAAGGAGAGCUUUAUAAAGAAGCUCUGCAGAGACUUCUGGCCGAGCCACCAAUCCACAAGUCCAAAGAGGUUAUACACAAAUAAUAGGGCAUAAAUAAUACACUCAAAAACAGAGGAUUUUAUUUUGGACUGUUCCAGAUUAUAGUUCAAGAUCUACUACUUAGUUGUUACAGUGUCAUCCUCUUUAUCAAAUUAAGCAAUGUAUAUGUGUAAAAUCGUAAACCAAAAGCAGAAAAAAAAAAUUAGAAGAAAACACUUCAAAAUGUUGAAUUUUAGGUUACAUUUCUGUUCUACAUGUAUAAUCUUUUUGGCACCAAACCUCAUGGCAUAUGCUCGUGAAUAACUAUCAUAAAGCAACUAUUGGCUUUUCAUAGCCCCUCUUCUCUGGGUGAAGACAUGCAAAUUUUGGUUGUUCCCCAGAUAAUCUGUAUGUACACUUAAGUUGCAACCUAAAAGAGUGGAUAUAUUUCCAAUGAAUUAAUGGAAGAACAAAACAAAAACGAAUGCUUUGGCUUGGUGAAGGAAGGUCGUCCUCUUCGAAAGAGCACGCAGCUUCGGGAGAGACGCAGGAAGGGGACACCCGCCUAG
Molecule: long non-coding RNA, 884 nt
Organism: Hyaena hyaena (striped hyena)
Lineage: Eukaryota; Metazoa; Chordata; Mammalia; Carnivora; Hyaenidae
Exons: 6
Source: RefSeq, a predicted model, not a curated record